AAAAAUCUAUCUUUAUUUGUUAUCUUUGUCGUUUCAUUUCACCUUCAACAUCUUUCUUCAGUUUGGGUUUUGUGGCCAUCUUUCUUCUGGAGUAGUUUCAUUAUAGUUCAGCGUCUCCCCCACAAGGUAUAGCUCUUUCUCUUUCUUUAACGCAUCCUUUGCUAGUUUGUGAGCCUAAAGAUUCUCUGUUCUUUGAAUAAACCUAAAGGCAAUUUCUUGAAAGCGAUAUUUGUUACUCUGGAUAUCUUUAAUAAUCGCUCCAAUAAUCGAUUUAUCUCGAAUUGUUGUUUGCCAUCUAUUGAUAACUAUUUUCGAAUCCCCCAUAAUCGUAACUAAGCCUAAACCCAUUUUGAUGCCUAACUUGGUUGCUUCUAAACAUGCACAUGCCUCUGCAACAAACAGAGAUGAGACAUUGGAAUGAAGAAUCAAUUUUGAGGCUUUAAUCACACCUUUCUAAUCCCGAACUACUAAUCCUAACGCCGAUCUAGAAUUUCUAAUAUCAAAAGCUGCGUCGAACUAUAUUAUCUCCCCCAUUGACUCCCCUCCUUGUCCUUGAGUUCUAGCGGACGUAAAGGUAAGCUUUUUUUCAUGCACUCCUUCAAGUUCCAAUAAGUAGCUCUGUAUUUUGUGUGAAAGGUCCCAUCCUGAUGUGAUUUUCCUCUCAUGAACCAUCUAAUUCCGUGAGCCCCAAAUAACCCAUAAGACACUGUAGAACAUUCGGAUCUGCUCCUUUCUACCCUUCCAAAAACCCAAGUGAGCCAUGUCCAUGUAUUUUGAUCUAUGUGUGCUGUUACCCAAGUCAUAUUAAGACUAUUCCAAACAUCAAUGCUUGUAGGACAUUGUCGAAACACGUGGUAGCUGUCUUCUUUUUCGGAGCAGCAUCGAGGACAACUAGCAUUUAUAAUCACUCUCUUAUAUCUAAGAUUAACUAGCGUAGGGAUAUAGUUCCAAGAAAUUCGCCAUAUAAGAAUUAACAUUUUUUAUGGUAGUUGUAAAUUCCACAACUUCCUGUAGAAUUCUUUAGUUUCAGCCUGUACUACAUAACUACUAGGAUCCAAGCUAGCAUCUUGUAAUAGUUUGUAGGCACUUCGUACUGAAAACUCACCAGAGUGUUCACCUUUCCACACUUGCAUGUCUUUAUAG
This 1143-nucleotide long non-coding RNA is filed under the name Gossypium barbadense (sea-island cotton). RNAcentral describes it as "long non-coding RNA (GBAR_LNC015353)". The record is from RNAcentral. Lineage: Eukaryota; Viridiplantae; Streptophyta; Magnoliopsida; Malvales; Malvaceae.